UCAUUUCUCACUCAACGGUCCAGAUUAUCUCAUCUCAAUCUAACGUCUCCCGCGUACCCAUCGCCUUCCCUCACCCAGCAGCGCCCCCGAAUCACGCGCACUUUCCUUCCUGUUCCGAUCGCGAAAUUCCUCCGCUCCCCUCCCCCGGCACCGCAUCGCGGGCCAUCGCUCCCCCACCUCUCGCUCCACCGUGCCUCCAACCCACGCCCCGCCCCCUCCACCUCUCGCUCCUCACGCCGCCUCCAUCGCUGUCCAAAAUCUAACGCUGCCAGUCCGCCGUCGCGCGCCACUCCGCCGCUCGUCGCCCUUCUCGCCGGUUUCACCGCCUCCGAUCUGAUUCUUUGAAACUCCACUGGCUCCUCGGCUUGCUUUCUUACAGGCAUCAAGUCAGGUAAGCAACUAAGCAUGAGCUUUCUUACAGGCAUCAAGUCAGGUAAGCAACUAAGCAUGAAUUUUCUCCAAACAUAUAACUCAGCAGAAUUGCUCCUUAUCAUAUGAAACUACUCCAUAAUAACAACGAAAUAUUUAGGCUCUGAAACUAGCCAAAACAAAAUUGUCAGGGUGGAUAGAUAAUCUUGGUCAGCCUUUUAUUGUAACUGAACCUCAUUGUGUCUUUUUAUACGCAAAUGUAUAUGCAGGCAUAUAUCAGGAUCCUUCCUAUUCUUUCGUGAUGAUUUGUUUUUUUAAAAAAAAUCUUAAGGUUCAUGAUUGGGUAGGGUUAGCCCCUUUUAGUUCAACAAGUUCAGAUUCUCAGCAAGGGCACAGUGUUUUUAGGAACAAACUCCUAAAUCUAGCACAAUAUGAUGUUUUCAAACAGCAGGAAACCAGUAAGUGCAGAAAAAGUAUAUGCAUCUCUGGACGAAACGGACUCUAUGAUGGUUUUAAACAUAUACCAUGUGAUGUUGCAAACCACUGAAAUCCCAGACUGACCUUGAACACUCAAGAAUGACAUCACCACCUCUUCCUCCAUUACCACCUGCAUAUUUCACAUAAGGAGGAUCUGUUCUGGCUCCAUUGUUUAAGAAUCAUGAAAAAGAAAAUCCUGACUGACUGCCGAAUUGGACCUAAUAGCAUGAAUUAAAGCCAUGACAGCAUCCCUCUAAAUCAGGUAACUAUUCUCUCCCUAAUCACUUUCCUACAAAAUACUUUACACCUCAUAGAUCGAUACUGUUUAUUUCAAUCUGUCAUGAUGUAUGCCUGCACUUAUCUCCACUCAGCCUACUGCAAUGGAUUACAUCGUUGAAACCUUCCCACCAAAUCUGUACUCAUGAAUGUAUCCAGGUGGUCACUGAUCUCCUCUCUUGUUAAUUCCUUGAAGUCCCUACUCCCUAUAUAAAUGUGCAGUUUUAAUUCAUGAAGUGUCUGAAAAUUAACUAUCUCGUUUUGUUAGUACAUUGAAUAAGCAUAAUUACAAAAGCUAUUUGUAUGAAAUUACCGAGGCGGAUGGAUACCUUUGUUAAGUAUAUUUCUAUGGAAUGUCUUGAUUUAUGAAUCUAUGUAGUGUGGACCUCUCCUCUGUAAGCUAUACUCAAGAAACCCAGUUUUACAGAUAUACUUGUUCAAUCUGCAUUUUAAGCCUUGAGUGAUCUCUUAAUUGACUUCAGUGACAUGUUUGUCAACACAGGGAUGAGCUAAAUAGGUUUGUCUCAGAUAAGCGAUCUCCAUCAGUUCUCAAAUUAGAUGGAUGGCAGCGGCAAUCUCAGUUUUCUUAAUAUGAGCUCUUCAAUCCUUUGAACUCUUUGGCUAUGAGAUCAUUCUUCCCUAACAAAAUCAGGAACACAACCUGCUACUACAAUUUUUUUUCAGUUUAAUUGAAUUACCAUUGCAAGUUCAUUGAGAUAUUAACUUCUUGCAGGUCAUAAACUGUCCUAAUGAAUGAACUCACUGAGAUCUACCCAACUAAGUAAUGAUUCAACCAAUCUGAUUAGUCUGAAGGAUAGUCUGUCUGAAGGAUAGUCUGGUUCGUCCUGCUCAAAUUUGAGAAGCUUGCACAUAUCCUCAACCCACUAAUGCAAUGAAGUUGUGUUUACCCUAGAGAGUUCUAAUAUCAGGUACUUUAUAUGCUGCUCAUUUUUCACGAAUUAUGUUAGGGGGAGUCUUGUUAAAAUUAUAUUCCUUUUGAGUUAAAUCCUUUAUCCAUCUUUUUUCUUGUUUUAUUAGGGGCCUAUGCAUGCUAUGCUUGAUUCUUGGUUCAAAAACAACAGAUGCAGUUGUUGCAUCUAUUGUCCGUUCUUAUGCAUGCUUGGAUUUGCUUGAUUCUAAAUGCUUCAAAUCAGAUGGCAGAGAUGUUUUCAGUCACUAAGUUCCUGAACGGUAUCUAAAUUUACUUUGCUUGAACUCCAGAUCUAGCAUUACUGGUAAUGGAUGCAGGAUAAUCUGCAAGGACUCUAAGCUGGCUUCUCCUUGCCCUGUGCCCAGAUUUCACCUCAUAACCUUGUUCUUUGUUGUAUUGAUUUAAAAAGAAUAAAGAAGACAAUAACACUUGCUCUUCUGACUUAUAGGUGGGGUUUAGGUGGCUACUUCAAAGUUGCCACUUCUUCAGCUCAUGGACUGUGGCAAGAGCUAUGUGCCAAUUCGCAGGCUGAACAGAGAUAUCAUACUUCGGCGAAAUUUCUGGAGGGAUUAAAUUUGGUUUUUACCUAUGUCGAUAAAGCAGCAGUGAGCAAGCUACAAGUGCUAGCUGUUAUUGUUUGUUUAAUCAUGAAAAAGAGGCUUUCUGAAACCAGAUCGAGCAAGCCAAAUGGGACUGCAUCAGCGAUAUGACGAAAACUUUCCCCGUUUUGACAUCAACUACCAUCAAUUGCAUAUUCUUUUGUAUGUAGAGAUUGCAUUUUAUUUUGGUUCAUAUCAGAUAUAAUAGUGCCAAAUCUGUCCUGUAUGAAACAUAUAUUUCAUUUUUGGUAACACAAAAGUUGGACUGAAUAUACGACUGGUUCUUUUUAGUACUCUGU
Oryza sativa Japonica Group (Japanese rice) is the source of this 2951-nucleotide non-coding RNA. The record is from RefSeq and is a predicted model, not a curated record. NCBI's taxonomy places the organism in Eukaryota, Viridiplantae, Streptophyta, Magnoliopsida, Poales, Poaceae.